Molecule: ribosomal RNA, 349 nt
Filed under: uncultured Desulfobulbus sp.
Lineage: Bacteria; Pseudomonadati; Thermodesulfobacteriota; Desulfobulbia; Desulfobulbales; Desulfobulbaceae
Description: bacterial SSU rRNA
Rfam family: Bacterial small subunit ribosomal RNA
Source: RNAcentral
ACAGGUGCUGCAUGGCUGUCGUCAGCUCGUGUCGUGAGAUGUUGGGUUAAGUCCCGCAACGAGCGCAACCCUUGCCUUUAGUUGCCAGCAGUUCGGCUGGGCACUCUAAAGGGACUGCCGGUGUUAAACCGGAGGAAGUGGGGAUGACGUCAAGUCCUCAUGGCCGUUUAUGACCAGGGCUACACACGUACUACAAUGGCCGAUACAAAGGGCAGCGACACUGCGAGGUGAAAGCCAAUCCCGUAAAAUCGGUCUCAGUCCGGAUUGGAGUCUGCAACUCGACUCCAUGAAGUUGGAAUCGCUAGUAAUCGUGGAUCAGCAUGCCACGGUGAAUACGUUCCCGGGCCUU